AAAGUGGACUUCGGUCCAUGAGUAAAGCGGCGAAAGGGUGAGUAACGCAUAGGCAACCUACCCCCGACAUCGGUAUAACCUCUGGAAACGGAGGGUAAUCCCGGAUGGCCCCGCGAGAGGGAAUCUUCUUGCGGGUAAAGGAGGGGAUCUUCGGACCUUCCGGUCAGGGAGGGGCCUAUGCCCCAUCAGCUUGUUGGUGAGGUAACGGCUCACCAAGGCAAUGACGGGUAGCCGGACUGAGAGGUUGGCCGGUCACACUGGGACUGAGACACUGCCCAGACUCCUACGGGAGGCUGCAGUCGAGAAUCUUCCGCAAUGGGCGCAAGCCUGACGGAGCGACGCCGCGUGAGGGAUGAAGGCCUUCGGGUUGUAAACCUCUGACACGGGUUAAGAAAGGCAGGGUGCUAAUAUCAUCCUGUUUGACAAAGGCCCGAGAGGAAGCCACGGCUGACUCCGUGCCAGCAACCGCGGUAAUACGGAGGUGGCAAGCGUUGCUCGGAAUCACUGGGCAUAGAGGGCGUCUAGGCGGACCGGUCAGUCGGCUGUGAAAUCCCUCGGCUUAACCGAGGAACUGCAUCCGAUACUGCCGAUCUUGAGGACGAGAGGGGAGAGUGGAACUCCUGGUGGAGCGGUGAAAUGCGUAGAUAUCAGGAGGAACGCCGGUGGCGAAAGCGACUCUCUGGCUCGUACCUGACGCUGAAGCGCGAAAGCUAGGGGAGCGAACGGGAUUAGAUACCCCGGUAGUCCUAGCCGUAAACGAUGAGCACUAAGUAGUGGCGUUUUCGAUGGCGUCACUGCCGU
This 801-nucleotide ribosomal RNA is filed under the name uncultured bacterium. Its description in RNAcentral is "bacterial SSU rRNA". It matches the Rfam family "Bacterial small subunit ribosomal RNA", at positions 70 to 849 of the family's 1533-position model. The record is from RNAcentral.